This 230-nucleotide unclassified non-coding RNA is filed under the name plant metagenome. Its description in RNAcentral is "partial contains small subunit ribosomal RNA, internal transcribed spacer 1, and 5.8S ribosomal RNA". The stretch from base 183 to 230 matches the Rfam family "5.8S ribosomal RNA", at positions 1 to 49 of the family's 154-position model. The record is from RNAcentral.
GUUCCGUAGGUGAACCUGCGGAAGGAUCAUUCAUAAUAAAGUGUUUUAUGGCACUUUUUAAAAAUCCAUAUCCACCUUGUGUGCAAUGUUAGAUCUCGUCAAUCUUGGCGAGAUUUUUAUACAUCAACUCAUUCUUUAACUAAUUUGUCUGAAAAAUAUUAUGAAUACUUAAUUCAAAAUACAACUUUCAACAACGGAUCUCUUGGCUCUCGCAUCGAUGAAGACGCAGC